UUACGGCCACAUCACAUUAAAUACACAAAUUCCGGUACGAUCGCCAAAAUUAAGCAAUGUCGAGCCUGGUCAGUACCUAGAUGGGUGACUGCUUGGGAAUACCAGGUGUUGUAAG
Molecule: non-coding RNA, 115 nt
Organism: Acanthosepion pharaonis
Lineage: Eukaryota; Metazoa; Mollusca; Cephalopoda; Sepiida; Sepiidae
Source: the annotation of a GenBank genome assembly